This is a long non-coding RNA of Syngnathoides biaculeatus (alligator pipefish), 1562 nucleotides long. RefSeq lists it as uncharacterized. Lineage: Eukaryota; Metazoa; Chordata; Actinopteri; Syngnathiformes; Syngnathidae. The transcript has 3 exons. The record is from RefSeq and is a predicted model, not a curated record.
GAUAGCCUUCACGGGAAGUGAAUGAGGUAAACAUAAAAUAAGAUGCUGAGAUACUUGAGAAGUGAAGAGGUGAUUCAGAAAUGAGACAGUAACUUGGCCUACCAAUUGAAUGUCUGGACUAGCAACAGUUUAAAUGACAGCACCAGUGUUGAUUAGUGAGAGAACAGGAAGAAAGGAUAUGGGCUGAUGGAACCAGUGGAGCCUAACAACAUAUGAGUGCUAUUAUUCUUUGACACAGGAAUUCCUAAUGAAACGCUGCUCAGGUCUUGAUGAAUGGACAUGAUAAAGGCUCACUGAUUGACAAAUACAAAUCCACUGGAGCAGCCGGACUGACUCGUAGUCUCCUGAAAAGGCAUCAUGGGAGAAAAGAGGGGCUUCAAGUGAUUACAAUUGUCAGUGAAGCCCCCACUUCAUCAAAUUCGUACAGUAUCACCAAGUACAUACACGAAAUAAGCAAGCAGUGUUUCAAAAUUGCAUUGGCGUAAUGAUUCGGGGUUUGUAUUAUACUUUCCAAGAUGAUAACUUGAAACUGAUUUGACAUGUUUUUCAGCGCUUUCCAAACUAUUCUUACAAAUGGUCAAACGCUAUUUUUCUGCAAUUAGAGGAGCUCAAAUGCACUGAACGAGCCAAAAGCUUGGUCAAUUUUGUAUGAGAACAGUUAUAAGGCAGGUUGGGAGGAGUGGGGGAUGGAGUCCAAAGUGGAACAUCCAGGAGACUAAGCUCAUGUUUUGCCAAACUGGCAGUACGAAAUCCUGCAGCAGGAGAACAGAUGGAAGUUUGGGCAGGAGGAAAAAGGACAGCAGAGUUAAAAACUGGAACAUAAUGAAAGGAAGUGGGGGCCAGACAAUACAUUUCUGAAUAGCAAGAGAGCUGAGGUUUGGGAGCCGGCUGGAUGGGAUGUGUGAAGAAAAAAAAUACAUACUACCUCUUGACAGUUCAAUUUUACAGUUGAGGAACAUGUUUUUAUUUGGAAAUGUCUUGCUUUGCCUUUAUAAAGCAUACAGUACACAACACGACUACCGGAGACAAAUUCAUUGUGUGUUGUUACAUACUUGGCCAUUUUUCCAUGUGAAUCACGAGCUGUUCCCGCCUCCCCCAUAUUUUUCUUUUUCUGUUUUUAUAAAACAAGUUGACAACUGGUUUCGUGGCUACUUCCUCAGAGUCUGAUUCCAGAAAAUGGGGCAAAAUCUGAUUUAUUUUAUGAGUGCAUGAUUGUCACGAGUAAGUUACGCCUCUGCAUUUAUGUACAUUCCUGAAGGUGUCUCGCGGUUACAGAUUUUGACAAUGAUACGCCAACCUCCUCCGUGAUAUUUUGGACUGAUGUUGAUCUUGUGAAGUGUUAUUUUUGUCUUCAAGGUUUCUUCAUGCUGUAGAGCUUUCUCUUUAAAAUUGCCCCCAACCAGUUGACCGCAAUGUCUUUUUACAUGUACUGGUUUGCAGUCAAAUAAUGGACUUCUUUGGUUGCAUUGAUAUUUCUUUCAUGAGCCAAUGUUGUCAACAUGGUUUAUUAAAACAAACACAUCAUUCGUCUCCAAAAUUGAUCGGAGCAAAUGUGAUCUAAC